CUCUUAUCAAGAGAGGUGGAGGGAUAGGGCCCUGCGAAACCCGGCAACCUGUGUUAUGCACAAAGGUGCCAAUUCCUGCAGUGAAAAAUCUGCGAGAUAAGAG
RNAcentral lists this non-coding RNA (103 nucleotides) under Clostridium intestinale. RNAcentral describes it as "SAM-I sequence". It matches the Rfam family "SAM riboswitch aptamer (S box leader)". Rfam says of the family: The SAM riboswitch is found upstream of a number of genes which code for proteins involved in methionine or cysteine biosynthesis in Gram-positive bacteria. RNAcentral also lists the same sequence under 1 other name. The record is from RNAcentral. Lineage: Bacteria; Bacillati; Bacillota; Clostridia; Eubacteriales; Clostridiaceae.